UAUAUAUAUAACUAGAGCGUACCUUGUUGUUCUUAGUCUCUUACAUUACUUGACUUUUUUUGUUCUCGCUCUUUCCACAGUUUGUCUGGAGGCAGCUUGCUGAUUUUUUCCAGUUGGUCAGUGUGGCUCACUGGGAGACUUGUGGACAUGCACUUACUUAAACAAAAUGCUGCUUUCAGCCACUUUUCUUAUGCAACACCCUGGUGAUUUAGAGUGCUUUUCAUAACGGCUUUAUCCAUUUUCACUUAUUUAUUUAUUGUAAUUUAAAUGUUAAUAGGCACACUUUGCUUUCUGGAUAGUCUGAUAGUUUGAUAGUCUGGGAAUACCAAAGUUACAACAUUGGUCUUCAAAAUGGUUGAAACUUUAAACUACUGAGUCCCCAUCCUAUUUAUUUAAUAUUUUCCACAUUAGACUUUGUUUGUUGUUGGACUUUCUCAGAUCGCUGUUUGCCAAAAUAAAUUUGUUUUAAAAACUUAUUCAUAACUCUAACAUAUUCCUAUCCAUGACCCUCAUAUUCCCACUGUUAAAAGGAUAAUUAAUUCUGACAAUAAUAGUAGUGUAAUCUUUAACCUUGGCAACAGAAACAGCAAGCAGAAUAAUGAGCUGUGAAAACAUUUAAGUAAAAGCUGAAGACUACCAUGUGUGACAUAAUGUGCAAUCCUUUUGCAACUCUGAAAUACUGGAAUGAUGAUUUGAGUAUAAUUCAAUUAACAGUCAAGCGACACUGUUGUUUCAAGAUAGAAAAACUUCAUUAUAUUAGUCAUAAAGUCAUUCUUGCAGUGCAAAACAGAGGGGCUGCAGAGUCGAGCUAUCAGCCACAACAACUGUCAGCCAGACUGCAAGUUUUACCAUGGUUUCUGAGAGCAAGAUACGCUUUCAUGUUCAGUUCUUGCCAAGUGCUUUAUCUGCAAGCUGGGUUGCGCCCACAGAGGCUAAAAAAAUAGAUGACUAUUCCCCGUGGUGGUCCAGCUAAGCGACUGUAGACAGGAUCAUAACCACAACCAUCAUUAUCAGUGGAAGGAAUGAGCCAAAAUCCGUGGUUACCAUUUCAAUGUAAUUGUUCCUUAUCACCACAGAAAAGAAGGGCAUUAUGUGUUUAAAGUCUUUCUUUCUGUGUUUUCUUCAUUCCUGCUCAGAUGAAACAAGCCAGCAUGAGAGAAAAGGCAAGGAAAGGAAAGUCUGAAAUGUUUUAUGUCAAAGCUGAAUCUGCCUGUAAGUCAACAAGAUAACAACUAAGGACUCUCUCAAAAAUCUACGUUUUUAUCUCUGAAGUGUUUGACCUUCUAUCUAAUAUCCAAGGGGAGCUCUAUCUUGUUGUCAACUGACCUUGAGUAAAGGAUGCUCUUUGUGAACAGGAUUACAUCAACAGUGAGCACAAAGCCUGAGCCGCACUCAAGUCAGCCUUCGUUAAAUGUGACGGGUAGCUAUUUCUGCAGAACUUCCAGAAAGGUGUUUUCUUCCUUCAUCAUGAAGUCAUUGAAUAGUUUCCAGCUUUGCUGAUUAAGUUCCACUUAAAAAAAAAAAAAAGAACAUGAGUGGACUCUCACCCCGUUGCGUAAGAAGCCACUAAUGCAACGACUGUACCACUGCAACUUGACAAGACUGUUACCGGGCCAGUAAUCCAAGGAAUUAUGUUUACACUGGGUGAUUAUGCAGGGCACUGUUUACAUCUACAUGCUCACAUUCAGUGACAGUGCAAGAAGUAGAGUACUCUUUAUGUAGUUUAAAACAAAAAGUCAGUAUGAGUCAGUGAAGAAAAACAAUCCCAGGCCAGGGGUAUGAAUAAGCAUAUCCACCGACACGUAAUUCCCACUCUGAUUAAACAGAACCAUUCCUUAUGUAAAAUAUAGUUUUGAAAUAGUGAAUAUAUCACUUAUUGUCCUGUUGGGGGCUUGCAAAGUUGUCCAUUCUUCUACUGUGUCUUGAUAGUAUGUUAGAUGCUCAGUGAGAUGGUAUGGAUCACCUGUCCUGUGCAAGAAACUACAGCAGAAUCUGUUUUUAAGUCUUCCCCGUGUUCUUGUGUUGUGAUUUGGAGUUCAGUUUCACAGAGGAAUACUUACUAUGAGCAAGUUAGAAAAAUUGCGAUCAAAUUGCAAAUAUGUUUCUCGCCAUAUUGGUUGGUGAAGAUUCAUAAGCUGUUCAGG
Long non-coding RNA from Astatotilapia calliptera (eastern happy), 2144 nucleotides. NCBI's taxonomy places the organism in Eukaryota, Metazoa, Chordata, Actinopteri, Cichliformes, Cichlidae. The record is from Ensembl.